GACGAACGCUGGCGGCGUGCCUAAUACAUGCAAGUAGAACGCUGAAGGAGGAGCUUGCUCUUCUGGAUGAGUUGCGAACGGGUGAGUAACGCGUAGGUAACCUGCCUGGUAGCGGGGGAUAACUAUUGGAAAAGAUAGCUAAUACCGCAUAACAGUAGAUGUUGCAUGACAUUUACUUAAAAGGUGCAAUUGCAUCACUACCAGAUGGACCUGCGUUGUAUUAGCUAGUUGGUGGGGUAACGGCUCACCAAGGCGACGAUACAUAGCCGACCUGAGAAGGUGAUCGGCCACACUGGGACUGAGACACGGCCCAGACUCCUACGGGAGGCAGCAGUAGGGAAUCUUCGGCAAUGGACGGAAGUCUGACCGAGCAACGCCGCGUGAGUGAAGAAGGGUUUCGGAUCGUAAAGCUCUGUUGUAAGAGAAGAACGAGUGUGAGAGUGGAAAGUUCACACUGUGACGGUAUCUUACCAGAAAGGGACGGCUAACUACGUG
RNAcentral lists this ribosomal RNA (495 nucleotides) under uncultured bacterium. RNAcentral's name for it is "partial 16S ribosomal RNA". It matches the Rfam family "Bacterial small subunit ribosomal RNA", at positions 28 to 507 of the family's 1533-position model. The record is from RNAcentral.